UAAACUGAGAUAAAUAAUCAGCCUUGCAAAACAAAAUCAUGAAUGUAUGAAAACUAGUCCUCUUAGCCUUGAAAAACACCAUGGAGCUCUCAAGAAUACAUCACCCAAACCUCUCUCUCUCGUUAUGUAAAAAAAAAUAUCCUCCUAAAGUGACCCUCCAACUCUCUCUAUUUCCUACAAUCGCUGCCCAUUCCACCAAACAACAGUCUCUAAAAAUUCCCAAAAAUAGAUCCUGACAAAAGCUGCCAAAAGUUGGUGUGUUUUUUGUUGAGUGUGUGCUGCUGCUAGGUCUUGAUUAUGUUGUGUCUGGUGAUGUUGCAUUAAUGCCCAACCCUAGCUCAACUUCG
RNAcentral lists this long non-coding RNA (347 nucleotides) under Vigna radiata. RNAcentral describes it as "long non-coding RNA (VRAD_LNC007500)". The record is from RNAcentral. Lineage: Eukaryota; Viridiplantae; Streptophyta; Magnoliopsida; Fabales; Fabaceae.